GACGAACCACCCAAACGUUAUUCGGAAUUACUGGGCUUAAAGAGUGCGUAGGCGGCCUUGAAAGUUAGGUGUGAAAUCCCACAGCUCAACUGUGGAACUGCGCUUAAAACUACAUGGCUAGAGGGAUAUAGAGGUGAGCGGAACUGAUGGUGGAGCGGUGAAAUGCGUUGAUAUCAUCAGGAACACCGGAGGCGAAGGCGGCUCACUGGGUAUCUUCUGACGCUGAGGUACGAAAGCUAGGGGAGCGAAC
RNAcentral lists this ribosomal RNA (250 nucleotides) under uncultured bacterium. Its description in RNAcentral is "partial 16S ribosomal RNA". It matches the Rfam family "Bacterial small subunit ribosomal RNA", at positions 524 to 773 of the family's 1533-position model. The record is from RNAcentral.